RNAcentral lists this transfer RNA (73 nucleotides) under Bos taurus (domestic cattle). It matches the Rfam family "tRNA". From Rfam's summary of the family: Transfer RNA (tRNA) molecules are approximately 80 nucleotides in length. Their secondary structure includes four short double-helical elements and three loops (D, anti-codon, and T loops). Further hydrogen bonds mediate the characteristic L-shaped molecular structure. tRNAs have two regions of fundamental functional importance: the anti-codon, which is responsible for specific mRNA codon recognition, and the 3' end, to which the tRNAs corresponding amino acid is attached (by aminoacyl-tRNA synthetases). tRNAs cope with the degeneracy of the genetic code in two manners: having more than one tRNA (with a specific anti-codon) for a particular amino acid; and 'wobble' base-pairing, i.e. permitting non-standard base-pairing at the 3rd anti-codon position. Lineage: Eukaryota; Metazoa; Chordata; Mammalia; Artiodactyla; Bovidae. RNAcentral also lists the same sequence under 4 other names. The record is from Rfam by way of RNAcentral.
UCCCUUGUGAUCCAGUUGUUGGGACUCUGCCCUUCCAUUACAGUGGGCCCAGGUUCAAUUCCUGGUCAGGGAA